AACAGCUGAAAGGUGCCACAAGUUGGUUUGACUCCAUGCCUCGCAGAUGUGAAGAAAUCAUGAAAAACUGUGGUUAUACAACUAAAUACUAGUUCAGUGAUUCCAGGAGUGCUAAAAAGCAGUUGAACAUCAUAGUUUGAGUUGUAGCGUCACAGCAGAUGCUACUAUUAUGUGAACACUCCCCUUUUCUACUUGUUUUUACUAAUAGCCCAAUUUCAUAAGCCUUAAGAGUGUGCACAUCAUGAAUGCUUGGUCUUUGUUGGAUUGUGAGAAUCUACUGAAUCUACUGGUACCUUGUUUCCCAUGUAACAAUAGAAAUAUACUCAACCCUGGCUUAAUCUUUUUAAAUCACAUAGCACUACGAUUAUUCUGAACACUACUGUAUGUGGCCUUGGUGGAGGUAUGUACUCUCUGAGAGCCUCCAAUUAAUUUGUUAUUAUUACUUAUUGAUUUUUACCAGCUUUGACAUUUCACCUCAGUCUGUUGAAUCCACUCUGAAUAUCAAGAAUAGAAUUGUCUUUUAUUUGUGGUUGUGUAAUGUAAUAUUCAGGCCUUCCUGACCUACAUAUUUAUCUGCUUUUUCUACUCUAGCCAACACAAAUAAGAUAUUCAGAGAUGUUUUUCAGCCAUUCCAGAGCUGAGAAGCAUCAACAUUUCUUCAACUGGCCAAAACAGGAUACAACAGGAAAAUAUGCACAGGGGGGAAUCAAGCAUGGGUACUGCUGCAGUUCAUAUAUAUACACACACACAUAUAUAUGUAUAAAAAUAUGCGUGUGCACUGUAUGGUAAGAGCCCACUGGUUCCAGCAGUCACAGUUAUCUUUUGAACUUAAGUGCAGUGUGGACCUCUGCAGGGCCACGUGUGUGUCUGGUCACAAAGAGGACUUUGUCCUUUGUUUAGAAAAUAGAAGUGCUGCUUUUGUAUUUCUGGACAAUACAGUGGGUAACCUACAAGCUGUAUCUUCCUGCAGGAAGAAAGACUGAAAGCAGUGCAACUUUAAUCUGUCAGAUUUUUACUAAAAUAUAAGAUGCCUUUAUUGUCACUGUACUGAAUAUAUUACUUCUGCUGUUCCUCUUUUUCAUAACAAUGUCACUUUUAACCUGUUGACCUGAGACUGGGUCAUAAAUGCACAAUGCAAAGACAGCCUCAUGGUUUAGCAGUCUUCAAGAAGGUGCUUUUCAAGUGUAGUCUCUUAUUAAAAAGAAAUUUAAAAAGUCCACAGUCACAGUUUUAGGCUACAUAUUACAGUAAGUGUAACAUGGUGCCAAAUCAACAUAAGUUUUAUAUCGCCAAGUUCUACCUGGAUCUACCUUUGUAACAUUCUUGUGUAAAUAAUGUUUUAUUUUCAUUCUUGCACUGUUUCUGUACUUGAGAUGCACAAAAGGUGCAAAGUAACCUAAUGCUUGUUGUACUUUGCUAAUGAGCUGAUUAUUAAAUAUAAGGUUUUGGAUCA
This is a long non-coding RNA of Thalassophryne amazonica, 1453 nucleotides long. RefSeq lists it as uncharacterized. The record is from RefSeq and is a predicted model, not a curated record. NCBI's taxonomy places the organism in Eukaryota, Metazoa, Chordata, Actinopteri, Batrachoidiformes, Batrachoididae. The transcript has 2 exons.